Molecule: small RNA, 192 nt
Filed under: Gordonia rhizosphera NBRC 16068
Lineage: Bacteria; Bacillati; Actinomycetota; Actinomycetes; Mycobacteriales; Gordoniaceae
Description: Actinobacteria sRNA Ms_IGR-5
Rfam family: Actinobacteria sRNA Ms_IGR-5
Source: Rfam by way of RNAcentral
ACACGAGGAAGGAGGUGGUUCGAAGUUGUAUGACUGUUGGACACGUGAGGUGACCAUCCGCUAGACGCGGAUCGUGUGGCAUUCACCCGCACCGUUCGUGCCGGCGAAUUCCAGAUGGUCACCCGGCCCCCGCACCCCGAUCAUGUCCGGUCGGCAACGGCCCCCGAUGGGGCGGUGCGGGGGCCGUUUCCU